GUGUGAGAGCCUCAGUCUGUCUGUAGCUCCCAUUGUGAACAGACCUCCUCGACACGUGCCAGAAAUAACCGCUCAAGUGACGAUGAUGGGAAAAUGGAACAUGGUGGUGAUGGUGGUGAUGGUGGUGGUGGUGGAGGGGAGGAACAGGGUCCAGAAGCGCCAGAUCUUCCGCGAGGCCGUGCUGCCUUGGAAGGGGGGCGUCAUCCCUGAGUCGGCCUUCACCCCCAAGCGCCUCCACCACAACGCCCUGGAGCAAGUGGGGGUGCACGCGCCCGACGGGGAGGUGUUCAUUACCAGGGACUUCGACAACCGGCUUGGCGUAGAUCCUGAAGAUGCGAUUGAGCUGCUAAGGUUGGAGCCAAAUGUCUACCCACCCCUAUCAUUUCACGCCCCCUUCCCUCUAGGCGGCCGUCUGCUUGGGAACGAUGUAACACGACCUCUGCCCACCACCUAUCUCCUCCGUCGCCCCUCCCCCUCCAACCUCCCCAUCCCUGAGCGCCCACCCCGCCUCACUCGUCUCUCCCCAGUGGUCAAAAUCUCAGGGGGUGGUCCGCAUAUCCCCCUCUCCUCCUUUCAUAUAUAAGGGGGGCGAGGGGGUGAGGGGGGCGGGGAAACGUACAUAGGAACACACGCCUACUUACACACAUACAUACAUACAUACAUACAUACAUACAUACAUACAUGAAUUUGAAGAGGAGGGAAGGAAGGAAGGAAGGAAAAAGAAGAAGAAGAAGAAGAAGAACAAGAAGAGGCAGAGGAAAAGAAAGAAGAUGGGAAAAAGAGGAAGAAAAGAAGAGGAAGAAGAAGAAGAAAACGAAGAAAAAAAAGAAAAACAACAUCUAUGUUAAUUAAAAAAAAUAUAUAUAAAUAAAGUUCUUAAUAAAAAUGUAUGAAUGACUAA
Long non-coding RNA from Eriocheir sinensis (Chinese mitten crab), 901 nucleotides. RefSeq lists it as uncharacterized. The transcript is spliced from 5 exons. NCBI's taxonomy places the organism in Eukaryota, Metazoa, Arthropoda, Malacostraca, Decapoda, Varunidae. The record is from RefSeq and is a predicted model, not a curated record.